GCCUGGGUAGCUCAGUUGGUAGAGCAGGGGACUGAAAAUCCCCGUGUCGGCGGUUCAAUUCCGUCCCCAGGCACCA
This 76-nucleotide transfer RNA is filed under the name Azospirillum soli. RNAcentral's name for it is "tRNA-Phe". It matches the Rfam family "tRNA". Rfam says of the family: Transfer RNA (tRNA) molecules are approximately 80 nucleotides in length. The record is from RNAcentral. RNAcentral also lists the same sequence under 5 other names. Lineage: Bacteria; Pseudomonadati; Pseudomonadota; Alphaproteobacteria; Rhodospirillales; Azospirillaceae.